Verticillium longisporum is the source of this 202-nucleotide ribosomal RNA. It matches the Rfam family "Archaeal large subunit ribosomal RNA", at positions 2488 to 2715 of the family's 2987-position model. The record is from Rfam. NCBI's taxonomy places the organism in Eukaryota, Fungi, Ascomycota, Sordariomycetes, Glomerellales, Plectosphaerellaceae.
AACCUCCUUUAUUUAUUUGCCGACGUAGUAUGGGAAAUUAAACUACCCUGGGGAUAACAGCGUAAUUCUUAAGAGCUUGCGACCUCGAUGUUGGACUAGGAAUUUGGUAGGCUAGCCGCCUAUUCAUAUUGUUCUGUUCGAACUAUUUUUCCUACAUGAUCUGAGUUCAGACCGGCGUAAGCCAGGUCAGAUUCUAUCUUUU